Non-coding RNA from Meleagris gallopavo (turkey), 964 nucleotides. Lineage: Eukaryota; Metazoa; Chordata; Aves; Galliformes; Phasianidae. The record is from RefSeq and is a predicted model, not a curated record.
CUCUCUACAUUGUGAAAACCACAAUAUUGGGCUGGCCUUUCAUGCUGAGUUUUCAGAUUGUCAUAUUCCAGAUAUUUGAUUUGUUACUGAGGGAGCUGCAUGUAAGGGAAGGCUUUUUCCAAACCAAGGUGUUCCACAGUAAGCAUUUAAGAGUGUCAGAACAGAAAUUCCUAAUGCUGCUUAAUGAGGUUUUAAACAUUCAGUCAGGUGAGAGCACUAGUUUUGAGAAUCUGUCAGUCCAUGCCCACGACAUUAAUACCAGCUUAGUUGUACCACACAUGCUUUCUCCAUUGCUAACAGGUUGGUGAUGUGUUAACCAAGUGGUGUUUGUGUGGGAGAAGGUGAAUCAAGGAUCAUUAAACUGUCAUGACAUCUCUCUGUGGAAAUCAGACCAAAUUUAUUGUAAAGGAAACAAACUGGGAAAAAAAAAAAAAAAAGAAAAAGACAGAACCAUUUUUGGCCAUUGCCAAAUUCUUGAAAUCUUGGUCUCGGGAGACAAAGAGGUUCAGGAGGGGCAGCAAAAGGAAGAAUUGAGGAAUGUAAUGAAGUCACAAUGAAGUCACAGAAAAGUUACACAGGGGACCAGGAGACUGGAGGCAAUGUCAGUGAUUCAAAGCUGAUGCCAUGGGAGAGUGGGGAAACAUGGAAAGGAGCCGUGCAGAGCAGAGAGAACAAGGCAGGGCAGAAAUGAAAGUGGAAGAGUCACUCCUUGUAAACCACUGAACAGCCACCAGACUGCUGUGACUUCUGGAUUACAUUCAACAUUUCACAGAUUUUUCAAUAGUCUUUGGAUUUUCAAAUUAAACUGCAUCAGCAAGCAUUUUAUCUACAGUACCAUCAACACAUUUGGGAAAUGAAACUGCUGUUCAGUUCCCAAUUAGUCCAUGGCUCCUCUAUUAUUUCACGUCACACCAAUAAUAAAUCUGCGAAUAACCAUUUUUGCUUUAUUUCUGACACAGAAUAA